Molecule: ribosomal RNA, 725 nt
Filed under: fungal sp.
Lineage: Eukaryota; Fungi
Description: eukaryotic LSU rRNA
Rfam family: Eukaryotic large subunit ribosomal RNA (bases 495-725)
Source: RNAcentral
UUACUGAGUGAGGGCCCUCUGGGUCCAACCUCCCACCCGUGUUUAUUGUACCUUGUUGCUUCGGUGCGCCCGCCUCACGGCCGCCGGGGGGCUUCUGCCCCCGGGUCCGCGCGCACCGGAGACACUAUUGAACUCUGUCUGAAGAUUGCAGUCUGAGCAUAAACUAAAUAAGUUAAAACUUUCAACAACGGAUCUCUUGGUUCCGGCAUCGAUGAAGAACGCAGCGAAAUGCGAUAACUAAUGUGAAUUGCAGAAUUCAGUGAAUCAUCGAGUCUUUGAACGCACAUUGCGCCCCCUGGUAUUCCGGGGGGCAUGCCUGUCCGAGCGUCAUUGCUGCCCUCAAGCACGGCUUGUGUGUUGGGCUCCGUCCCCCCGGGGACGGGUCCGAAAGGCAGCGGCGGCACCGAGUCCGGUCCUCGAGCGUAUGGGGCUUUGUCACCCGCUCUGUAGGCCCGGCCGGCGCCAGCCGACAACCAAUCAUCCUUUUUUCAGGUUGACCUCGGAUCAGGUAGGGAUACCCGCUGAACUUAAGCAUAUCAAUAAGCGGAGGAAAAGAAACCAACAGGGAUUACCUCAGUAACGGCGAGUGAAGCGGUAAGAGCUCAAAUUUGAAAGCUGGCUCCUUCGGGGUCCGCAUUGUAAUUUGCAGAGGAUGUUUCGGGAGCAGCCCCCAUCUAAGUGUCCUGGAACGGACCGUCAUAGAGGGUGAGAAUCCCGUAUGGGGA